This is a long non-coding RNA of Neopsephotus bourkii (Bourke's parrot), 958 nucleotides long. RefSeq lists it as uncharacterized. The record is from RefSeq and is a predicted model, not a curated record. The transcript is spliced from 2 exons. NCBI's taxonomy places the organism in Eukaryota, Metazoa, Chordata, Aves, Psittaciformes, Psittacidae.
CCCCAGCACCAGGCUUCCUGCAUGGAACCGGCUCCGCAGCUCAUCCAGCCCUGGUCACCCUGCCCCAGUCCCUGUGCUCCCGCAGGCACUGCACGGUGCCCAUCGCCCUUUGGAGGAUGGCUUGGAGCAAGCUGCUCUAGUGGAAGGUGUCCCUGCCCGUGGCAGGGGAUUGGAACUGGAUGAGCUUUAAGGUCCCUUCCAACUCUAGAAGCACCAGUGAGAGCAUCCUCUAUCACCUCCUCCCGCCAGGGCCACCAGCAUUCACCUCCCACAGCAUCCCAGUGGAUGCUGAAUCACCCACACCAUGUAGUGCCUGCCUGCUGCAGCAUCACCACUGCAGGACCUGCUUUUUCUGUGUGGCAAAUGGCAGUUCUCCUCAGCAAGCACUGCCUCCAAGCUCCAGCACUGUUCAGGCACCGGAGCCAGGGCCACAGGGGGAUUUGCUUAUCUUGCUCAGUCCUCAAGGAGGAAUUCCCAGCACAGAGAAAAUGGGAUUUAGCCUGUUCCCACCAGCAUCACCACAGCCCAGCCUGAGUCAUCUCGUUAUGAGUGACCUUUCUCGCCGUGAGUCACCGCGAUGCCGUCCCAGCCCCAGGAUGCAGGACUGCAGCCACGCGCCAGCGCCCGGGAUGUGAUGCUGGUCACCGAGUGGGACACGAGCAGCCAGACAAUCCCUGGGGAUCCUUCCCACUCCCUCUCUGAUGGCUGCUGCCACUAUCAAAGCCAGAUUCCAGUUUGCACCCCCGGAGCAUGGGGCUGCAGCCACUCAAAGGCUGGGCAAGAACCCCAGGGACCUUGCGCCAAUGCAGGGCAGGAGGUCAGCAUGGGGACAGGUUCUGGAGAGGCUGUAAAGCAUCUCAGCUCCUGUGCACAGACACCGUUGUAGUGUGGAUAGAGCCACGUAACACCACCACGUGUAGAAUAAAGUCCAUUUAUUUCAUAGCAAGAGGCAGUGUAA